GUGUUGUAUGAAAGGAGAGAAGGUUAGCACUACCCUUGACAAGGAUAGAAGAGACCCUUGGGCCUUACAACAUGCAUACGGUUAAUUAUUUUC
This 93-nucleotide non-coding RNA is filed under the name Jaculus jaculus (lesser Egyptian jerboa). The record is from RNAcentral. Lineage: Eukaryota; Metazoa; Chordata; Mammalia; Rodentia; Dipodidae.